GAUAUUUUUAUUAAAGAAUUUCGGUUAUCGAUGGGGAUGCGUUCCAUUAGUUUGUUGGCGGGGUAACGUCCCACCAAGACUACGAUGGAUAGGGGUUCUGAGAGGAAGGUCCCCCACAUUGGAAGUGAGACACGGUCCAAACUCCUACGGGAGGCAGCAGUGAGGAAUAUUGGUCAAUGGGCGAGAGCCUGAACCAGCCAAGUAGCGUGAAGGAUGAAGGCUCUAUGGGUCGUAAACUUCUUUUAUAUGGGAAUAAAGUUUUCCACGUGUGGAAUUUUGUAUGUACCAUAUGAAUAAGGAUCGGCUAACUCCGUGCCAGCAGCCGCGGUAAUACGGAGGAUCCGAGCGUUAUCCGGAUUUAUUGGGUUUAAAGGGAGCGUAGGUGGAUUGUUAAGUCAGUUGUGAAAGUUUGCGGCUCAACCGUAAAAUUGCAGUUGAAACUGGCAGUCUUGAGUACAGUAGAGGUGGGCGGAAUUCGUGGUGUAGCGGUGAAAUGCUUAGAUAUCACGAAGAACUCCGAUUGCGAAGGCAGCUCACUAGACUGUCACUGACACUGAUGCUCGAAAGUGUGGCUAUCAAGCAGGAUUAGAUACCCUGGUAGUCCACACAGUA
RNAcentral lists this ribosomal RNA (612 nucleotides) under uncultured bacterium. RNAcentral's name for it is "bacterial SSU rRNA". It matches the Rfam family "Bacterial small subunit ribosomal RNA", at positions 191 to 804 of the family's 1533-position model. The record is from RNAcentral.